RNAcentral lists this ribosomal RNA (1543 nucleotides) under Escherichia coli. RNAcentral describes it as "bacterial SSU rRNA". It matches the Rfam family "Bacterial small subunit ribosomal RNA". The record is from RNAcentral. Lineage: Bacteria; Pseudomonadati; Pseudomonadota; Gammaproteobacteria; Enterobacterales; Enterobacteriaceae.
AAAUUGAAGAGUUUGAUCAUGGCUCAGAUUGAACGCUGGCGGCAGGCCUAACACAUGCAAGUCGAACGGUAACAGGAAACAGCUUGCUGUUUCGCUGACGAGUGGCGGACGGGUGAGUAAUGUCUGGGAAACUGCCUGAUGGAGGGGGAUAACUACUGGAAACGGUAGCUAAUACCGCAUAACGUCGCAAGACCAAAGAGGGGGACCUUCGGGCCUCUUGCCAUCAGAUGUGCCCAGAUGGGAUUAGCUAGUAGGUGGGGUAACGGCUCACCUAGGCGACGAUCCCUAGCUGGUCUGAGAGGAUGACCAGCCACACUGGAACUGAGACACGGUCCAGACUCCUACGGGAGGCAGCAGUGGGGAAUAUUGCACAAUGGGCGCAAGCCUGAUGCAGCCAUGCCGCGUGUAUGAAGAAGGCCUUCGGGUUGUAAAGUACUUUCAGCGGGGAGGAAGGGAGUAAAGUUAAUACCUUUGCUCAUUGACGUUACCCGCAGAAGAAGCACCGGCUAACUCCGUGCCAGCAGCCGCGGUAAUACGGAGGGUGCAAGCGUUAAUCGGAAUUACUGGGCGUAAAGCGCACGCAGGCGGUUUGUUAAGUCAGAUGUGAAAUCCCCGGGCUCAACCUGGGAACUGCAUCUGAUACUGGCAAGCUUGAGUCUCGUAGAGGGGGGUAGAAUUCCAGGUGUAGCGGUGAAAUGCGUAGAGAUCUGGAGGAAUACCGGUGGCGAAGGCGGCCCCCUGGACGAAGACUGACGCUCAGGUGCGAAAGCGUGGGGAGCAAACAGGAUUAGAUACCCUGGUAGUCCACGCCGUAAACGAUGUCGACUUGGAGGUUGUGCCCUUGAGGCGUGGCUUCCGGAGCUAACGCGUUAAGUCGACCGCCUGGGGAGUACGGCCGCAAGGUUAAAACUCAAAUGAAUUGACGGGGGCCCGCACAAGCGGUGGAGCAUGUGGUUUAAUUCGAUGCAACGCGAAGAACCUUACCUGGUCUUGACAUCCACGGAAGUUUUCAGAGAUGAGAAUGUGCCUUCGGGAACCGUGAGACAGGUGCUGCAUGGCUGUCGUCAGCUCGUGUUGUGAAAUGUUGGGUUAAGUCCCGCAACGAGCGCAACCCUUAUCCUUUGUUGCCAGCGGUCCGGCCGGGAACUCAAAGGAGACUGCCAGUGAUAAACUGGAGGAAGGUGGGGAUGACGUCAAGUCAUCAUGGCCCUUACGACCAGGGCUACACACGUGCUACAAUGGCGCAUACAAAGAGAAGCGACCUCGCGAGAGCAAGCGGACCUCAUAAAGUGCGUCGUAGUCCGGAUUGGGAGUCUGCAACUCGACUCCAUGAAGUCGGAAUCGCUAGUAAUCGUGGAUCAGAAUGCCACGGUGAAUACGUUCCCGGGCCUUGUACACACCGCCCGUCACACCAUGGGAGUGGGUUGCAAAAGAAGUAGGUAGCUUAACCUUCGGGAGGGCGCUUACCACUUUGUGAUUCAUGACUGGGGUGAAGUCGUAACAAGGUAACCGUAGGGGAACCUGCGGUUGGAUCACCUCCUUA